RNAcentral lists this transfer RNA (89 nucleotides) under Hyphomicrobiaceae bacterium. Its description in RNAcentral is "tRNA-Leu". It matches the Rfam family "tRNA". From Rfam's summary of the family: Transfer RNA (tRNA) molecules are approximately 80 nucleotides in length. RNAcentral also lists the same sequence under 2 other names. Lineage: Bacteria; Pseudomonadati; Pseudomonadota; Alphaproteobacteria; Hyphomicrobiales; Hyphomicrobiaceae. The record is from RNAcentral.
GCCCAGGUGGCGGAAUUGGCAGACGCACUAGGUUCAGGUCCUAGCGGGAGUAAAAUCCCAUGGAGGUUCAAGUCCUCUCCUGGGCACCA